This 127-nucleotide small RNA is filed under the name Marmota monax (woodchuck). The record is from RNAcentral. Lineage: Eukaryota; Metazoa; Chordata; Mammalia; Rodentia; Sciuridae.
GCCCGGUGUGGUGGUGCAUGCCUGUAAUCCCAGUUUUUUGGGAGGCUGAGGUAGGAGGAUUUUGAGUUCAAAGCUAGCCUCAGCAAUUUAUCAAGGUACCAAGCAACUUAGCAAAACCCUGUCUCUA